RNAcentral lists this long non-coding RNA (38312 nucleotides) under Hordeum vulgare. RNAcentral describes it as "long non-coding RNA (HVUL_LNC013953)". Lineage: Eukaryota; Viridiplantae; Streptophyta; Magnoliopsida; Poales; Poaceae. The record is from RNAcentral.
AAAAUACACAGAAGAGAAGAGGAGAGAGAACAUGAUAGUUGUACUACAAGAUUUCAGUUUCGUAAAUACCACAGAGCUUCCAUUCCUCCUACACCAAGUCCACACAGAUCGACACCACAAGCCCUCAUCCUCCGCUGCCCAUCUGCCAAAGCAAACAAGAACACACAAGACAGUUCAGGCAGGCAUGGAUGCAGAGUUCACCUGAGUUGGGAGGGACUGACUAGCCAACCAUGCAAAUGCAAGCAGGGCGGAGAAUUAGUAGCCGAUGUCGGCGCCGUCGUCGACCAAGGUCGCCGUUGAUGCCGGGGAUAGGUAUCGAUCACACGGUGUUAUGGGCCCUGGUCAAGAUCGCAGGAGGAGACGCUUCAAUCUGGCGAGAUCCCGGCUCUCGUUGCUGCUCUCUCGGAGGUGGAUCUCAUCUGGGAUAAUAUAUAUGGCAGAAUUUCCAAGGAAAUGCACGGUUGCCUUGUCGGCUGAGUGUAACUUCCAGGUCGCAACCUUUGUACGAGCAGCCGAAUGAGCAGGAACGAGUACACAUCACAUUUUAUUGACUCAUGCGUGGGUGGUGUAAACAACGGAAAUGAUUUGCGUACGACGAUGCAUGUCCGAAGCACGUACGACGAUGCAUCCGCAUCGUGAGCUAGCUAACCCGUUGAAAGACAUACGGCUUGAUUUGAUGGUCGUACGUGGUUCGGAUGAGAAUCGUCGUACGUGUAGCACUGCUCAGUCUUGGGUGGUGUAAACAAAGUCUUCUUAGGGUAUGUACAAUGGUUGAUAAGAUAGUUUUAUUUCAAGUUUUACAUGUAAUUUAUAGAUGAUAAAAAAAGUCUUACAAUGAAUCACCUCUUAAUUGUUCUCUCUUAAAUAAGAAAAGACAAAUUUUUUUUAUGAGUUAUCUUUCCUCCACCUCAUCAUUUAUCUUACAUGACACUACUAAGAUAGCAUCAUUGUACAUGUCCUUAUGUGACAGGAAAAAAAAACCAACAGCCCUACCAGGAAAUAAAACAAACGUGUGAAGCACGUGUUGUGCAUGAGAGUGAUUUUGUUUUCUUAACUCAUGCCUUUUGGUUUAUUGCACUAUCUUUCUUUUAACACGCAAGCGUUUAUAUACACGUACAUAGACUGAGCCGGCAUAUCAUGAAAUUUAUGAAUAAAUUCAGAAAUAAAUGCGAACAUCAGGAUUUAAACCCUGAUGAGCUAUGAAUAUCACAAUCUCUCUAACCAUCCAACCACAGACUGGUUCGCAUUGUACUCUUCGUCGUACUAUCUUUUCAAUGUGUUACUUGUUGUCCUUAAUAAUUAUCAUAUCUAAGAUGCCCUUUGGGUGUGUUUCGUACUAUGAAAAAGGGUCCUGCAUGGAUAGAGAGAGCGUGUGCUGACGAGACAGCAUAAAAUGUUUCACCAGUUAGUUAAUAGAGUGUCACAUAAAUAAAAUACAUAGUCCGGGUAGGAAAAAUACUCCACGAUGCUUGAGUGCCCUUGACCAAAGCCUAGCGCCCUCGAUCGCCCCAUCCUUUCCUCCCUGGCUACUACCUCAGAUCACCGCCAAUCCGCAUGACUUCCAAGGACGACAGCGGCGAAGCUCCCUCCUUGAGCAACACCUUGGUACUUGUACGCCUCUUCCUACUGAGCGACGUCGUUGUGCUCUCCGUUGGUUCCUUGGUGGUUGCGUUUUUCUGUUGCCAUUUUUGUUGGCGAUGCUCCGCCCCUCCUUUGGACGGAGCAUUGCCAGUAUAUGGACUUUUUUUUAGAAUAACUGCAUAUUUUUUAACCAGCAAAUGUUACAAACAUAGCACAUACAUAACAUCGCUGAGAGAGCACGAGAGACCAAAGGUGUCCCAACACAAAUGCAAAAAGGUCUCAAAAAGGAGAAAAUACAAUCUGAACCCCCGGGGGCCUUAAUGCAUGAAGAACCAACACCAGUCGCUGACCGCCGCCAUCGACGACGAGACGAACGGCGAAGGAGGACGCCAGAAACCAUCAAACCCUGAGCCGAGGGCACACCAUCACUGAAAAGGGCUUUCUGAGUCGAAGAUGAGCCCGGUCGCAAACGGUGAGGCAUAGCCGUUGUGGCACGUCGACCGGGGAAAGUCCCCGUGCAAAUCCUCGGCUCCAGUUUCGGCACCUCCGUUGGACGAAGUCGAAGGAGAAUUACCAGAUCUACCGCCACAAACCACCACGAGAGUGUUGAGUCACCAAGUCUCUCGCCAACAGCCGCGGUCACCGCACGGGCCGGUGACCAACGCUGGCCCGAGCACUCCUAUACAAGACUCUGUCGGCUUCCCAUCGACACUGAAGAACGUGUCGAUGUGGCAGAGACGAAGCCGAGGGAACAAAACUCCCGAUGUCCCCUGCUUGACCAAAUCCGAGCACGCCAAGCCUGUCGCCGCACACGUCGGCCAGGCCAAACCUAACCUCACCGCCCAAGACGAGCGGCAGGAAUCUACGCCGAGCAGCGCCCGAGGAAACACCACCGAGACGGAGGCGGAACCGGAGGACAAAAGGCACGAGCUGGGCAGCCGUCGCCGCCUCGUCGACCCAGCCCCACCACCCAGAUAUCGCCAGCCACGCGAAACCUGCGAGCAGACCGAAGCUCCCAGCCUUCUCGCCCACCGCAACGCAUACCACCGCGUUGGGGAGAGAGCAGGGGCACCCUUAUUAGCCGCACUCGCCAUUCCCACCGGAGAUGCGAAAACGACCAGCCACCACCAAGCUACAAAGCCUACCUAGACUACACCUGUACAAGCCAUGCCCCCGGAUCCGACGACCCCAACCUGCACCGAAGAGCAUGAAGUCCCGGGGGAGAUGGCGUCGCCGGAUCCAAAGCCGGCAAAGGAGUCGCCUCUCACUAGUGGAAAACGGGCCUUUGGCCAGGACCCUUUAGUCCCGGCCUGCCUCUGGGCCGGGACUAAAGGCCCGGCCACGUCGCCCCAAUUCUCAAUGCCUCCCUCGAGGCUUUAGUCCCGGCCCGUAAGGAGCCUUUAGUCCCGGUUCAUGUUCCAAACCGGGACUAAAGGGCUACGCGGCGGGUAGUGGUGGUGGCAACCGUUCGUAUCCCCCUUUAGUCCCGGUUGGUGGCUCAACCCGGGACUAAAUCCCUAACCCGUGCCCUGCCGUAGUGGUGGUAACCGUUGGUAUACCUCUUUAGUCCCGGUUGGUGGCUCAACCCGGGACUAAAUCCCUAACACGUGGCCUGCCGUAGUGGUGGUAACCGUUGGUAUACCUCUUUAGUCCCGGUUGGUGGCUCACCCCGGGACUAAAUCCCUAACCCGUGCCCUGCCGUAGUGGUGGUAACCGUUGGUAUACCUCUUUAGUCCCGGUUGGUGGCUCAACCCGGGACUAAAGGCCCAAACGGUUUGCAUCCCGCGUCGUUUCGGGCGAUGAAAAGCACGAACCAAAGCAGAGUCGCCAUUUCUCUGUUUCUUCUUCUCUCUCGCUCUCGCUCUGUUCUUCUCCUCUCUUCUUCCAUCAUGCCAACUCGCUUUGGAGAGGUGCUCGCACAUGGCAAGACCAAGCUCGAUGUCGUGUACACGAACGAGAGCAGGGAGAUGCCGUAUUUUCUUGAACAGUUGAAGGAACGAUGGCUUGACGCCGCAAUGGAUCAUGAGAAGUUCUUGGGGCUUGAUCUGGAGUACACGGCCGAUCAACGCGGUGUUGCCGUCAUCCAACUAUGCUUCGCACACCAUGUCUUGAUCUUCCAAUGGGCGAGGUAAGUUUUGAGGCUUUCUUUGAUCCAAGGUAAUGACAUUGUAAGUUUAUUUGUUUCAAUCAUAGUUGGUUCCCUUCAAAUAGUUGUAGUGAAACAAUUUUGAUUAGUUGAAGGGGAACACAAUCUGAUUGGAAUAGUGUUCCAUAAUCUGAAAAAUCGUAUUAGAAUCAACUAGUGUUUAAUAUGUUCCAUUGGAAUCAUAGUUGGUUCGCUUCAAAUAGUUGUAGUGAAACAAUUUUGAUUAGUUGAAGGGAACACAAUCUGAUUGGAAUAGUGUUUCACAAUCUGAAAAAUCUGAUUGGUUCAAUAUGUUCCAUUGAAAUCAUAGUUGUAGUGAUACAAUUUUAUGCGGUGUUAUUUGAUCCAAGGUUAUGAAAAUUGCAUAUAGCUAGUGAUCUCUCUAGGUUCCAUUUGAUAGCAAUAUGAUAUGUCAUAGUCAUGAAAAUUGCAUAUAGCUAGUGAUCUCUCUAGGUUCCAUUGGAUAGCUAUAGUGAUCUCUCUAGGUUCCAUUGCAUAUGUUCUAUUUGAAUCCUAAAGAUAAUUUUCUCUUUAGUUGUAGUGAAACAUGUUUCCUUAUUGCAGCAGUAUGUAACAUUUUCCAUUUUAAUUUGUUUCUGUUGCAGUAGUGACAAGCAUUGUCCAGAACUCAUGGACUUCCUGCGCAGCGGCAUCACUUUUGCUACCGUUGACAUAACGAACGACAAGCUGAAGAUGAGGUACAGCUUCGGUAUUGAGAUACCAACUGGUUGCCUCAUUGAUCUCCAAACGGUAUUCAGGCUUCGACAUGUCAGGACUUCGAUGGCUCAUAUGGCAGUUGCCUUGAUCGACGAGGAAUAUGGUGAUAUGAAGACCAAUUUUCCCAAAGUCUCAGCACAAACUUUGGGAGAAGGCCCCACUUGAUCGUAUCAACAUUGAGUAUGCAACAAAAGAUGCAUACGUUUCAUACGAGUUGUACCGCAAGAUUCGAGUCGUCAACUAUGGCCAGCGUCACCUCGAAUAAGGUGGACAUUCUGAUUCGAGUCGUCAACUAUGAAAACUAAUUCCCGAACACCAAACGAGGCAUCACGUUAAUCUUCCGAACACCUAAACCCUAAAAUCCUAAAACCCAAAAAUAAUUUCAUUCAAAAAAAACCCAAAAAUAAGCAAAAUCUAAAACUCUUUAGUCCCGGUCCGUGUAACGAGCCGGGACUAAAGGGCCUGCCCCUGAGGCGCUACGAGGCGCCCACGUGGAGCAUCUUUAGUCCCGGCUUGUAACAGGGCCGGGACUAAAGGUUAGGCGUCCCGGUUGGUGAACCGGGACUAAAGUCCCUUACGGGCCGGGGCUAAAGGCCCCGUCUCCACUAGUGUCUGGCAGUAUAUGGACUUGUGGUAACCUUUGUUAGGACUUAGGUGCUCCAUCCCUGUUCCUCACCUCUCACCUGAUUUGGACGCCCACCGGUUUGGUCUGGCCUAGUAUCUUUUUCCAGUCAUUUCUCGGUUAGAUGCGGAAGAUUUGCCGCAUGAUCUAGCGAUUGCAUCUGACGUUUUUCUUGACUGGUGAUUAAAGUUGGUCGUUAAGGUCUUGUUGAACGUACGUGUGGACCAAAAUAUGUUUUUAUCUUUGUGACAAGUACAAUGACCGCUGUUGUAUUUAUCUCUCAUCUCAACCCUCAACUAAAUUCUAUGUGAAUUCCUAGUAUCUCUUGCAAUCCCUGGUAUCCAUCAAUUGGUUCUGUCGCGCUCCUAAGUUCUCCUUCCCUCUCCGAUCAUAUAUCUCUUUAGUCGAAUCAUGGCAAGGUCAUGUCAAGACCCAAAUGUUUUUUCAAAAAGAUAGUAUAAACACACACACUCACAUCCAUGAACGCACAUACGCACGUUCUAUUCCUAUAAGCACAUUUGAAAGGCUGAGCCGGCGGAUGUUAAGAUUGACAAAGUCACAACAAACGUCACAUCACUCUAUGGACAGAAACAUUGCCUCCCAUUGAGAGUACAUUUCGCGUUUAUCACACACCAAAGCAUCAACAUUUAAUUCCUUGUGUUAGGAAUUAAUUAAAUGUAUUAAUUAAUGGAAUAAUCCAUGCGUUGCCGGUUGCCUUGAUUUAGCAACCGUUCCUUGUAACCGACUCUGUACUCGGGGUAUAAAUACCCCGCAUCUUCAAUCAAUAAUAAUUGUUCCAUCAUUCUGUCACUUUCACUGUUUUACACGUUAUCAGCACUCGCUCUGCCGAGAGCGACAGAGAGCCACGAGAAAGGUCAGAAUGGCAGGAAGAGAGUUGUCUGCACUUGCUUUUGCUUUCGCACGCUUCCUGCAGAAAGAGAACACCCGCUUCCCUCGCACUCAGCGCCACCGCAUUGCACGUCGCCAUCAGGGUCUUGGUGCAAGGAAUGGCCCUCAUCGCCGUUCCUUCACCAGGAACCACCGCCAGAACCGGAGUGGCCCUCAUCGCCGCUUCUUCGCCGGGAACCACCGCCAGAACCACCGCCGUGGGUAUGCACGUCGAGGCAACCAACCACUUCGUGGGCGUGCACCAACGGUGCACCAGGCUGGAUCCUCGACUCCGGCCACCGCUCCACUACAACAGGCUGGUGUUGUAGAUAUGCCCUAGAGGCAAUAAUAAAUUAGUUAUUAUUAUAUUUCUUAGNNNNNNNNNNNNNNNNNNNNNNNNNNNNNNNNNNNNNNNNNNNNNNNNNNNNNNNNNNNNNNNNNNNNNNNNNNNNNNNNNNNNNNNNNNNNNNNNNNNNUGGAUAAUAAACUAUUAUCUUGAUACAGGAAUUAUAAUAAUAACUAUGCAUUUAUUAUUGCCUCUAGGGCAUAAUUCCAACAGUGCCUUCUAGUUGCACUGUCUGUACCCAGACAGUUUAUAACUCUUCCGCUGGCUUGUAUUUGUAUGACUGCUAUUAUGGGUCGAGAGACCUUAAUGUGUAAUAUUAUGUGUGUGGCUCUUNNNNNNNNNNNNNNNNNNNNNNNNNNNNNCUUCCGAGCCUCUUAAAUAAAGCUUGUAUGUUUAUGGUUAUGUUGUGAUGCCAUCGAUGUAUCUAUACAUAUCGGUAUGCCAUGCGUACGUGUGUCUUACUUGGUAUGUAUGGGGUUCGAAUACCUAGUCGUGAACUUUAGUAGCACUCCUUACAAGGAAAUGCCCCUUUGUGAUCCAACGAGCCUUGGUAGUUCGCUACUGCUCCGGACACAUUGGUUGACCGGCAUGUGUCCUUCUUAGCUGCUGUGUCUGUCCCCUUUGGGGAAAUUUCACGCGAUGUAAUGGAGUCCUUGUAGCUUGCUACGACUCGUCUACAUUCGCCGAUGACCGACACCUGCUUUGUUGGGUCAUGUAUGCCUGUCCUUGUGCGGUACUGCCACUUUGGUUUAUGACUAGACAUGUCGAUCCGGGUUCUUUGACAUUGGAUUGCUAGCGACACUAUCGCAUACGUGAGUCAAAAGACGCAAACGGUCCCGGCUAAGGUAAGGCUGCAGCCGUGGAGUUAACCGUGCGUGAGACCACAAAGGGAUGCGAUGUGUUACAGGCUAGAUUCCUAUGGCUUAGGAUCGAGGUCCCGACACUUUAAAAUAUCCAUUUGUACUUAACGGUCUUACGACCAUCAAGUAGUUCUUCCAAAGUCUACACUUUGUUUUCAUACAUGGAUCCUCUCUCGGAUUUCAUGGCCUCCAGCCAUUUAUCGGAAUUCGAGCCCACCAUCGCUUCUCCAUAGCUCGUAGGUUCAUUGUUGUUCAACAACAUGACCUCCAAGACAGGGUCACCGUACCACUCUGUAGCAGUACGCGACCUUGUCGACCUACGAGGUUUGUAGUAGCUUGAUCAGAAGCUUAAUGAUCACAAUCAUUAGUUUCCACUUCAAUUUGCGUAGGCGCCACAUGAACAAAUUCCUGCGCCCUGCUACACACUAGUUGAAGUGAUGGUUCAAUAACCUCAUCAAGUUCCACCAUCCUCCCACUCAGUUCUUUCGAGAGAAACUUUUCCUCGAGAAAGGACCCGUUUCUAGAAACAAACACUUUGCUUCCGGAUCUGAGAUAGGAGGUAUACCCAACUAUUUUGGGUGUCCUAUGAAGAUGCGUUUAUCCGCUCUGGGUUCGAGCUUAUCAUGCUGAAACUUUUCCACAUGAGCAUCGCAGCCCCAAACUUUUAAGAAACGACAGCUUAGGUUUCUCCAAACCAUAGUUCAUACGGUGUCAUCUCAACGGAAUUACGUGGUACCCUAUUUAAAGUGAAUGUGGUUGUCUCUAAUGCCUAACCCAAAACGAUAGUGGUAUUUCGAUAAGAGACAUCAUAGUAUGCACCAUAUCAAAUAGGGCGCGGCUAUGACAUUCAGACAAACCAUCACACUAUGGUGUUCUAGGUGGCAUGAACUGCAAAACAAUUUCCACAUUGUCUUAACCGUGUACCAAAACUCGCAGCUCAGAUAUUCAUCUCUAUGAUCAUAUCGUAGACAGUUUAUCCUCUUGUCACGAUGAUCUUCACUCUGGAAUAGCUUUGAACUUUUCAAUAUUUCAGACUUGUGAUUCAUCAAGUAAAUACUCAUGUAUCUACUCAAAUCAUCAGUGAAGUGAGAACAUAACGAUAUCCACUGCGUGCCUUAGCACUCAUUGGACUGCACAUAUCAAAAAUCUAUUGCAUCCAACAAGUUACUUUCUUGUUCCAUGUGGUAUGAUUUUGCAUGUCUCAAGUGAGUUAAAAUCAAGUGAUUCCAAACGAUCCAUCUGCAUGGAGUUUCUUCAUGCGUUUAUACCAACAGGUAUGGUUUCCAUGUCUCAAACGUUUCAAAAAUGAGUGAGUACAAAGAUCCAUAAGCAUGGAGUUUCUUCAUGCAUUUUACACCAACAUGACUCAAGCGGCAGUGCCACAAGUAAGUGGUUCUAUCAUUAUUACUUUGUAUCUUUUGGCACCACUAUUAUGAAUAUGUGUAACACUACGAUCGAGAUUCAAUAAAUCAUUGAAGGUAAUUAUUCAAGAAAAUAGAAUAACCAUUAUUCUCUUUAAAUGAAUAAUCGUAUUGCAAUAAACACGAUCCAAUCAUGUUCAUGCUCAAAGCAAACACCAAAUAACAAUUAUUUAGGUUUAACACCAAUCCCGAUGGUAGAGGGAGCGUGCGAUGUUUUGAUCACAUCAACCUUGGAAACACUUUCAACACGUAUCGUCACCUCGCCUUUAGCUAGUCUCCGUUUAUUUCGUAGCUUUUAUUUCGAGUUACCAAUCACUUAGCAACCGAACCGGUAUCUAAUACCCUCGUGCUACUAGGAGUACUAGUAAAGUACACAUCAAUAUCAUGUAUAUCAAAUAUACUUCUGUUGACUUCGCCAGCCUACUCAUCUACCAAGUAUAUAGGGUAGCUCCGCCUCAGUGACCGUUCACCUCAUAACAAAAGCACUUAAUCUCGGGUUUGGGUUCAAUCUUGGGUUUCUUCAUUAGAGCAGCAACUGGUUUGUCGUUUCAUGAAGUAUCUCUUCUAGCCCUUGCCCUUCUUGAAACUAGUGGUUUUACUAACCAUCAACAAUUGAUGCUCCUUCUUGAUUUCUACUUUCGUAGUGUCAAACAUUGUGAAUCGCUCAAGGAUCAUCAUAUAUAUCCUUGAUAUGUUAUAGUUCAUCACGAAGCUCUAGCAGCUUGGUGGCAGUGACUUUGGAGAACCAUCACUAUCUCAUCUGGAAGAUUAACUCCCACUUGAUUCAAGCGAUUGUUAUACUGAGCACAUGCUCAACGAUUGAGCUUUUCUCCUUUACUUUGUAGACAAAGAAUCUUGUUGGAGGUCUCAUACCUUUCAACAAGGGCACGAGCAUGAAAUCUCAAUUUCAUAUCUUAGAACAUCUUUUAUGUUCCGUGACGUUUCAAAAUGUCUUCGGCGUCUUGCAUCUAAGCCAUUAAGUAUUACGCACUGAACUAUCACGUAGUCAUGAAAAAUGUGUAUGUCAGAUGUUCGCAACAUCCACAGACGACGCUUGAGGUGCAGCACACCGAGUGGUGCAUUAAGGACAUAAGCCUUCUACGCAGCAAUGAGGACAAUCCUCAGUUUUACGUACUCAGUCCGCAAAGUUACUACUAUCAUCUUUCAACUAAAUUUUCUCUAGGAACAUAUAAAAAAACAGUAGAGCUAUAGCGCAAGCUACAUCAUAAUUCGCAAAGACCUUUUGACCAUGCUCAUGAUAAUUAGUUCAAUUAAUCAUAUUACUUAAGAACUCCCACUCAAAAAAUACAUCCCUCUAGUCAUUUCAGUGGUGCAUGAUCCAAAUCCACUAACCCAAGUCCGAUCAUCACGUGAGUUGCGUAUAGUUUCAGUGGUAAACAUCUCUAUGCUAAUCAUAUCAACUAUAUGAUUCAUGCUCGACCUUUCGGUCUCUUGUGUUCCGAGGCCAUGUCUGCACAUGCUAAGCUCGUCAAGUUUAACCCGAGUGUUCCGCGUGUGCAACUGUUUUGCACCCGUUGUAUGCGAACGUUGAGUCUAUCACACCCGAUCAUCACGUGGUGUCUCGAAACGACGAACUGUCGCAACGGUGCAUAGUCGGGGAGAACACAAUUUUAUCUUGAAAUUUUAGUGAAGGAUCACGUUAUAAUGCUACCAUCGUUCUAAGAAAGAUAAGGUGCAUAAAAGGAUUAACAGCACAUGCAAUUCAUAAGUGACAUGAUAUGGCCAUGAUCUUGUGCUUCUUGAUCUCCAUCACCAAAGCACCGACAUGAUCUUCAUCGUCACCGGCACCACACCAUGAUCUCCACCAUCGUGCCGCCAUCGAGGUUGUCGUGCUAUAUACGCUAUCACUACUAAAGCUACAACCUAGCGAUAUAGUAAACGCAUAUGCAAACACAAACGUUAGUUUAAAGACAACCUUAUGGAUCCUGCCAGUUGCCGUAGCAUCGACGUGCAAGUCGAUAUUUAACUAUUACAAAAUGAUCAUCUCAUACAUCCAAUAUAUCACAUCAUGUCUUUGGCCAUAUCACAUCACAUGCAUACCCUGCAAAAACAAGUUAGACAUCCUCUAAUUUGUUGUUGCAUGUUUUACGUGGCUCCUAUGGGUAUCUAGUAUGAUCGCAUCUUACUUACGCAUAGCCACAACGGUAAUAUGCAAAUUGCUAUUUAACCUUUCUCCAAGGACCGCCUCGGUCAAAUCCGAUUCAACUAAAGUUGAAGAAACAGACACCCGCCAGUCAUCUUUAUGCAACAAGUUGCAUGUUAGUCGAUGAAACCGGUCUCUUGUAAGCGUACGAUUAAGGUUGGUUUGGGCCGCUUCAAUCCAACAAUACCGCCGAAUCGAGAAAAUACUAAGGAGGGCAGCAAAUUGAACAUCAAUGCCCACAAAAACUUGUUUGUUCUACUCGAGAUUACAUCUACGCAUGAACCUAGCUCAUGAUGCCACUAUUGGGGAACGUUUCAUGGGAAACUAAAAAAUUCCUACACACACGAAGACCUAUCAUGGUGAUGAUCAUCUACGAGAGGGAGAUCGGGUCCACAUACCCUUGUAGAUCGCUAAGUGGAAAUGUUAAGAAACGUGUAUGAUGUAGUGGUAUGUCUUCACGAUCCGUCCCACGAACCGUCUCACGAUCCGUCCCGAUCAAGUGUUGAACGGACGGCACCUCCGCGUUCCGCACACGUACAGCUCGAUGACGAUCUCCGCCUUCUUGAUCCAGCAAGAGGGGCGGAGAGGUAGAUGAGUUCUCCAGCAUGGCGAUGUGGUGGUGGUGUUGGUGGUGCUAUUCCAGCAGGGCUUCGCCUAAGCACCGCUGAAACUAGAGGAGAAACAGAUCUAGAGAGAGAGGGCAGCACGUGGCUGUUUCUGUUGUCCAAAAACCCUCAAAACCCUUAGUAUAUAUAGGAGGAGAGGAGGGAGAGGGUUGCGCCCUAGAGCAACCUUCUCUUCCCUUGCGCAAGGGAGAGGAGGAGGAGUCCUACUCCAAUCCUAUUUGGAGUAGGAUUCCUCCUUCCCACUUGGAAACUCUUUCCACCUUGUGUUUUUCCUUCUCAAACCUUAUGGGUCUUAGUGGGAACUUAUUCGAGCCCACUAGGGGAUGGUUUAUCUCUUGCCACAGCCCAUAAGGCCUCUUGGGGCGUGACACCCCUCCCGAUGGUCCCCGGCACACCUCCCGGCACUCCCGGUACACUACCGAUGAGCCCGAAACUUUUCCCGUGACCAAAACAGGACUCCCUAUAUAUCAAUCUUCAUUUCCGGACCAUUCUGGAAACCUUCGUGAUGUACGGGAUCUCAUCCGGCACUCUGAACAACCUUCGGUCACCAACACAUAUAACUUAACUAUACCGAAACAUCACCGAACUUUAAGUGUGUAGACCCUGCGGGUUCGAGAACUAUGUAGACAUGACCUGAGACACUCUUCGGUCAAUAACCAACGGCGGGACCUCGAUGUUCAUAUUGGCUCCUACAUAUUCUACGAAUAUCUCUAUCGGUUGAACCUCUAUGUCAAGGAUUAAUAUAAUCCCGUAUACUAUUCCCUUUGUCCUUCGGUAUGUUACUUGCCCGAGAUUCGAUCGUUGGUAUCUCCAUACCGAGUUCAAUCUCGUUACCGGCAAGUCUCUUUACUCGUUCCAUAAUACAAGAUCUCGUGACUAACUCCUUAGUCAUAUUGCUUGCAAGGCUUGUUGUGAUGUUGUAUUACCGAGUGGGCCCCCUAGAUACCACUCCGUCACAUGGAGUGACAAAUCACAGUCUUGAUCCAUGCCAACCUAAUAGACACCUUUGGAGAUACGUGUAGAGCACCUUUAUGGUCACCCAGUUAUGUUGUGACGUUUGAUACACACAAGGCAUUCCUCCGGUGUCCGGGAGUUGUGAUACGUCCAUUUUGCAUCAUGUUUUCAUGUUGAUAUUUAUUGCUUCUUGGGAUGUUAUAUUACUUGUGGUGCCAUAUUUAUGCCUUUUCGCUCUUAUUUUGCAAGGAUUAUUUGAAGAGGGAGAAUUCAGGCAGCUGGAAUUCUGGACUAGAAAAGGAGCAAAUCCUAGUCCACUAUUCUGCACAUCUCCAAAUGCCCUGAAAAUUUUCGUGGAUUUUUUCUAGAAUAUAUUAAAAAUACUGGGCGAAAGAACUACCAGAGGGGGCCACCAGGGCCCCACAAGCUUGCCCACCGCCGCCGCCCCCCUGGUGGCGCACGGCAGGCUUGUGGGCAGCCCACUGGCCCACUAGCCCCCCUCUUUUGCUAUAUGAUGCGUCCUGACCUGGAGAAAAUCAUACAGGAGCUUUUUCGUGGUUUCCCCGCCGCCACAGGGCGGAACUUGAGUAGAUCCAAUCUAGAGCUCCGGCAGGACGAUCUUGUCGGGGAAAUUUCCCUCCCGGAGGGGGGAAUCAUCACCAUCUUCAUCACCAACACUCCUCUCAGCGGAGGGGAGGCAUCUUCAUCAACAUCUUCAUCGGCACCAUCUCUUCUCCAAUCCCUAGUUCAUCUCUUGUAACCAAUCUUCGUCUCGCAACUCAGAUUAGUACUUGUAAGGUUGCUAGUAGUGUUGAUUACUCUUUGUAGUUGAUGCUUGUUGGAUUACUUGGUGGAAGAGUUUAUGUUCAGAUCCUUGAUGCUAUUCAUUACACCUCUGGUCAUGAUUAUGAUUAUAUCUUGUGAGUAGUUACUUUUGUUCCUAAGGACAUGGAAUAAGUCAUGCUGAUAAUAGUCAUGUGAAUUUGAUAUUCGUUCAGUAUUUUGAUAUGAUGUAUGUUGUUUUUCCUCUAGUGGUGUUAUGUGAACGUGGACUACAUAACACUUCACCAUAUUUGAGCCUAGAGGAAGGCAUUGUGAAGUAGUAAGUAGAUGAUGGGUUGCUGGAGUGACAGAAGCUUAAACCCCAGUUUAUGCGUUGCUUCGUGAGGGGAUGAUUUGGAUCCACUAGUUUAAUGCUAUGGUUAGACUUUGUCUUAAUUCUUCUUUUGUAGUUGCGGAUGCUUGCUAGAGAGGUUAAUCAUAAGUGGGAUGCUUGUCCAAGUAAGGUCAGUACCCAAGCGCCGGUCCACCCACAUAUCAAACUAUCAAAGUAACGAACGCGAAUCAUAUGAACAUGAUGAAACUAGCAUGACAGAAAUUCUCAUGUGUCCUCGGGAGCAUUUUUCCUCCUAUAUGACUUUGUUCAGGCUUGUCCCUUGCUACAAAAGGGAUUGGGCCACUUGCUGCACCGUUGCUACUACUUGUUAUUUGUUACUCUUUGCUUGCUACGUUUCACCUCGCUACACAAUCACUUGUUACCGCUACUUUCAGUGCUUGCAGUUAUUACCUUGCUGAAAUUCGUUUAUCACAGCCUUCUGCUCCUCGUUGGGUUCGACAAUCUUACUUAUAGAAAGGACUAUGAUUGAUCCCCUAUACUUGUGUUGGAAAUAUGCCCUAGAGGCAAUAAUAAAUUAGUUAUUAUUAUAUUUCUUUGUUCAUGAUAAUCGUUUCUUAUCCAUGCUAUAAUUGUAUUGAUUGGAAACACAGUGCAUGUGUGGAUACACAGACAAAACACAGUCCCUAGUAAGCCUCUAGUUGACUAGCUCGUUGAUCAAAGAUGGUCAAGGUUUCCUGACCAUAGGCAAGUGUUGUCACUUGAUAACGGGAUCACAUCAUUAGGAGAAUCAUGUGAUGGACUAGACCCAAACUAAUAAGACGUAGGAUGUUGAUCGUGUCAUUUUGUUGCUAUUGUUUUCUGCGUCUCAAGUAUUUGUUCCUAUGACCAUGAGAUCAUAUAACUCACUGACACCGGAGGAAUGCUUUGUGUGUAUCAAACGUUGCAACGUAACUGGGUGACUAUAAAGAUGCUCUAUAGGUAUCUCCGAAGGUGUUCGUUGAGAUAGUAUGGAUCGAGACUGGGAUUUGUCACUCCGUGUGACGGAGAGGUAUCUCGGGGCCCACUCGGUAAUACAACAUCACNNNNNNNNNNNNNNNNNNNNNNNNNNNNNNNNNNNNNNNNNNNNNNNNNNNNNNNNNNNNNNNNNNNNNNNNNNNNNNNNNNNNNNNNNNNNNNNNNNNNNNNNNNNNNNNNNNNGGUAAACGAGAUUGAAAUAGGUAUGCGGAUACUGACGAUCGAAUCUCGGGCAAGUAACAUACCGAAGUACAAAGGGAAUGACAUACGGGAUUAUAUGAAUCCUUGGCACCGAGGUUCAAACGAUAAGAUCUUCGUAGAAUAUGUAGGAUCCAAUAUGGGCAUCCAAGUCCCGCUAUUGGAUAUUGACCGAGGAGUCACUCGGGUCAUGUCUACAUAGUUCUCGAACCCGCAGGGUCUGUACACUUAAGGUUCGACGUUGUUUUAUGCGUAUUUGAGUUAUAUGGUUGGUUACCGAAUGUUGUUCGGAGUCCCGGAUGAGAUCACGGACAUCACGAGGGUUUCCGGAAUGGUCCGGAAACAAAGAUUGAUAUAUAGGAUGACCUCAUUUGAUUACCGGAAGGUUUUCGGAGUUACCGGGAAUAUACCGGGAAUGACGAAUGGGUUCCUCGGAAUGUACCAGGAAUGACGAAUGGGUUCCGGGUGUUCACCGGGGGGGCAACCCACCCCGGGGAAGCCCAUAGGCCUUGGGGGUGGCGCACCAGCCCUUAGUGGGCUGGUGGGACAGCCCAAUAAGGCCCUAUGCGCCAUAGGAAGAAAAUCAAAGAGAAAAAGGAAAAAAGAAAAGGGGAGGUGAGAAAAAGGGGAAGGACUCCACCUUCCAAACCUAGUUGGAUUCGGUUUGGAAGGGGAGGACUCCCCCCCUUGGCUCGACCGACCCCCAAGGCAAGGCCCCCCUCUCCCACCUAUAUAUACGGAGGUUUUAGGGUUGAUUUGAGACAACUUUGCCACGGCAGCCCGACCACAUACCACCAUGGUUUUACCUCUAGAUCGCGUUUCUGCGGAGCUCGGGUGGAGCCCUGCUGAGAUUAGAUCACCACCAAACUCCGGAGCGCCGUCAUGCUGCCCGAGAACUCAUCUACCUCUCCGUCUCUCUUGCUGGAUCAAGAAGGCCGAGAUCAUCGUCGAGCUGUACGUGUGCUGAACGCGGAGGUGCCGUCCGUUCGGCACUAGAUCGUGGGACGGAUCGCGGGACGGUUUGCGGGGCGGAUCGAGGGACGUGAGGACGUUCCACUACAUCAACCGCGUUUCUUAACGCUUCUGCUGUGCGAUCUACAAGGGUACAUAGAUCAAAUAUCCCCUCUCGUAGAUGGACAUCACCAUGAUAGGUCUUCGUGCGCGUAGGAAAAUUUUUGUUUCCCAUGCGACGUUCCCCAACAACUUGUGGGUCAUCAAGACUCUUUUCUGGCGCCGUUGCCGGGGAGUGAAGCGCCUUUGGUAAGUGGAAAUUGGUAAGGAAACAAUUUUAUACUGUGCUGAAAUUUAUUGUCACUUGUCACUAUGGAAACUCUUCCUUUGAGGAGUUUGUUCGGGGUAUCUUCACCAUGAACGGAAGCACGAGGAUUUGCUCCUCAACCUGAGGUACCUACUGAAAAUAUCUUUUAUAAAAUUCCUUUGGGUAUGCUUGAGAAAUUGCUGGCUAAUCCUUUUACAGGAGAUGGAUCUUCACAUCCAGACUUUCAUCUAAUCUAUGUAGAUGAAGUUUGUGGUUUAUUUAAGCUUGCAGGUUUGCCCGAGGAUGAGGUAAAGAAGAAACUCUUUCCUUUAUCUUUGAAGGAUAAGGCAUUGACAUGGUAUAGGCUAUGUGAUGAUACUGGAUCAUGCAGCUACAAUCGGUUGAAAUUGGAAUUUCAUCAAAAGUUCUAUCCCAUGCAUUUAGUAUAUCAUGAUCGGAACUUUAUUUAUAACUUUUGGCCUCGUGAUAGGGAAAGCAUAGCUCAAGCUUGGGGGAGGCUUAAAUCAAUGCUAUAUUCAUGCCCCAAUCAUGAGCUCUCGAGAGAAAUCAACACUCAAAACAUUUAUGCUCGGAUUUCUCAUGAAGAUCGUACCAUGCUUGAUACUUCUUGUGCCGGUUCUUUUAUGAAGAAGAAUAUUGAUCACAAGUGGAAUUUAUUGGAGAGAAUCAAACGCAACUCUGGAGAUUGGGAGCUGGAGGAAGGUAAGGACUCAGGUAUGAAUUUCUAUUUUGAUUGCGUUAAAUCUUUUGUUGAGACAAACACUUCUAGAGAGCGCUAAGUAUGGACUUGACUCUGAGAUAGUAGCUUCUCUUUGUAAAUCUUUUGCUGCUCAUGUUGAUCUUCCCAAAGAGAAGUGGUUUAAAUAUCAUCCUCCUGUAGAAAGCAACAUAGCCAAAACCAAUCUAGUUGAGGAGAAAAUCAUAGCUUUUAGUGAUCCUGUUGUUCCUUGUGCUUACACUGAGAAACCACCAUACCCUGCUAGGAUGAAGGAUUAUUCUAAAGCUCCAACUGUGAUACGUAGGGGUUACAUUAGACCACUUGCACCCCCUGAAGAGAUUAGAGUUGAACCUAGUGUUGCUAUUAUCAAAGAUCUCUUAGCCAAAGAGAUAGAUGGGCAUGUUAUCAAAUUCUGUGAGGACUCCGCUAGAAUUGCUAAACCUCACGCGAAAGACAAGCACGGACCUGUAGUUGGCCUGCCCGUUGUUUCUGUUAAGAUAGGAGAUCACUGUUACCAUGGUUUAUGUGAUAUGGGAGCUAGUGUUAGUGCAAUACCCCGUUCUCUAUAUGAUGAAAUCAAAGAUGAGAUUGCACCAGCUGAGAUAGAACCCAUUGAUGUCACUAUCACGCUAGCUAAUAGAGACACUAUAUGCCCUUUGGGAAUUGUGAGAGAUGUAGAAGUCCUGUGUGGUAAGACGAAGUAUCCUACUGAUUUCCUCGUCCUUGGUACUACACAAGAUAGCUUUUGUCCCAUCAUAUUCGGUAGACCCUUUCUCAACACUAUCAAUGCUCACAUUGAUUGCAUUAAGCAGACUGUCAUAGUAAGUUUCGAGGGUGUGUCUCAUGAAUUUAACUUCUCCAAGUUUGGAAGACAACCCCAUGAAAGAGAUUCAUCUGGUAGGGAUGAAAUCAUUGCUCUUUCCUCUAUUGCCAUACCUCCUACGAAUCCUUUAGAGCAAUAUCUGCUUGAGCAUGAAAAUGAUAUGCAUACGGAGGAGAGAGAUGAGAUAGAUAGAAUUGUCUUAGAACAAUGUCCUAUUCUCAAGAAUAAUCUGCAUGUUGAACUGCUUGGGGAUCCUCCCCCACCAAAGGGUGAUCCUGUGUUCGAGCUUAAACAGUUGCCUGAUACUCUUAAGUAUGCCUAUCUUGAUGAGAAGGAGAUAUAUCCUGUCAUUAUUAGUGCUCUCCUCUCAGAGCGUGAAGAGAAGAAGUUACUAAAAACUCUGAGGAAGCACCGCGCUGCUAUUGGAUAUACUCUUGAUGAUCUUAAGGGUAUUAGUCCUACUCUAUGUCAGCACAAGAUUAAAACCGAUCCUGACUUUAAACCAGUUGCUGAUCAUCAAAGGAGAUUAAAUCCUAAGAUGAAAGAGGUCGUUAGAAAAGAAAUAUUAAAGCUUCUGGAAGCAGGAAUCAUUUAUCCUAUUGCUCAUAGUGAUUGGGUAAGUCCAGUACAUUGCGUACCUAAGAAGGGAGGUAUCACCGUCGUUCCUAAUGAUAAGGAUGAACUAAUCCCACAAAGGAUUAUUACCGGCUAUAGAAUGGUGAUAGACUUCCGGAAACUGAACAAGGCAACCAGGAAAGAUCAUUAUCCUUUGCCGUUCAUCGACCAAAUGCUAGAAAGGCUAUCAAAGCACACACACUUUUGCUUUCUAGACGGUUAUUCAGGUUUCUCGCAAAUACCUGUUGCAUAAUUUGAUCAAGAGAAAACCACCUUCACCUGCCCUUUCGAUACCUUUGCCUAUAGAUGUAUGCCUUUUGGCUUAUGUAAUGCACCUGCCACCUUUCAAAGAUGUAUGAUGGCUAUAUUCUCUGACUUUUGUGAAAAGAUUGUCGAGGUUUUCAUGGAUGACUUCUCCAUUUACGGGUCUUCCUUUGAUGAUUGCCUCAGCAACCUUGAUCGAAUCUUACAGAGAUGCGAAUAAACCAACCUCGUCUUGAAUUGGGAGAAGUGCCACUUUAUGGUUAAUGAAGGUAUCGUCUUAGGACACAAAAUCUCUGAAAGAGGCAUUGAAGUUGAUAAGGCUAAGGUUGAUGCAAUUGAGAAAAUGCCUUGCCCCACAGAUAUCAGAGGUAUACGAAGUUUCCUAGGUCAUGCUGAUUUCUAUAGAAGGUUCAUUAAAGACUUCUCUAAGAUUUCUAGGCCUCUUACCAACCUCUUGCAGAAGGAUGUUCCUUUUGUUUUUGAUGAGGAUUGUGAGGAAGCCUUCGAAAUACUUAAGAAGGCUUUGAUAACCGCACCUAUUGUUCAACCACCUGACUGGAACUUUCCCUUUGAAAUCAUGUGUGACGCUAGUGAUUAUGCUGUUGGUGUUGUUCUAGGACAAAGAGUUGACAAGAAGUUGAAUGUCAUUCACUACGCUAGUAAAACUCUAGACAGUGCCCAAAGGAACUAUGCCACUACGGAGAAGGAAUUUUUAGCACUCGUGUUUGCAUGUGAAAAAAUCAGAUCUAACAUAGUUGACUCCAAGGUCACUAUUCACUCUGAUCAUGCUCCUAUUAAGUACCUUAUGGAGAAGAAGGACGCUAAGCCUAGGCUUAUCAGAUGGGUUCUCCUGCUACAGGAAUUUGAUUUGCACGUCAUUGACCGAAAGGGUGCUGAUAACCCUGUAGCAGAUAACUUGUCUAGGCUAGAGAAUGUCCUUGAUGACCCACUACCAAUUGAUGACAGCUUUCCUGAUGACCAAUUAAAUGUCAUCCGCACUUCACUUAGUGCACCAUGGUAUGCCGAUUAUGCAAACUAUAUCGUAGCCAAAUACAUACCACCCAGUUUCACCUAUCAACAAAAGAAGAAAUUCUUCUUUGAUUUGAGACACUACUUUUGGGAUGAUCCUCACCUUUAUAAGGAAGGAGUAGAUGGUGUUAUUAGACGUUGUGUGCCUGAACAUGAACAGGGACAGAUCCUGCAGAAGUGUCAUUCCGAAGCCUACGGAGGACACCACGCUGGAGAUAGAACUGCCCAUGAGGUAUUGCAAUCAGGUUUCUAUUGGCCCACUCUCUUCAAGGAUGCUCGUAAGUUUGUCUUGUCUUGUGACAAAUGCCCAAGGAUAGGGAACAUCAGUAAGCGUCACAAGAUGCCUAUGAACUAUUCACUUGUCAUUGAACCAUUUGAUGUCUGGGGCUUUGAUUAUAUGGGACCCUUCCCGAGUUCCAGUGGGUACACUCACAUCUUAGUUGUUGUGGAUUACGUUACUAAGUGGGUAGAAGCUAUCCCCACUAAAAAUGCUGAUCACCACAACUCUAUUAAGAUGCUUAAAGAAGUUAUAUUCCCAAGAUUUGGAGUCCCUAGAUACUUGAUGACUGAUGGCGGUUCACACUUCAUUCAUGGUGUUUUCCGCAAGAUGCUAGCUAAGUAUGAUGUCAACCAUAGAGUUGCAUCUCCUUAUCAUCCUCAGUCUAGUGGUCAAUUGGAGUUGAGUAAUAGGGAGAUCAAGUUGAUCUUACAAAAGACCGUCAAUAGAUCCCGAAAGAACUGGUCUAGCAAACUUGACGAUGCACUAUGGGCUUAUAGGACUGCUUAUAAAAAUCCCAUGGGCAUGUCACCGUAUAAAAUGGUUUACGGUAAGGCCUGUCAUUUACCUCUUGAGUUGGAACACAAAGCUUAUUGGGCAAUCAAAGAGCUCAACUUUGAUUUCAAACUUGCCAGUGAGAAGCGGUUGUUUGAUAUCAGCUUGUUGGAUGAAUGGAGAGCCCAGGCAUAUGAGAAUACCACGUCGUCAAGGAAAAGGUUAAGAGAUGGCACGACAAACGAAUACAGAAACGAGAGUUCAAUGUAGGUGAUUAUGUCUUGCUAUACAAUUCUCGUUUGAGAUUCUUUGGAGGCAAGCUUCUCUCUAAAUGGGAAGGUCCCUACGUUGUCGAGGAAGUAUAUCGUUCCGGUGCCAUCAAAAUCAAUAAUACAAGGAAAUUUUCCUAGAGUGGUAAAUGGGCAAAGAAUCAAGCAUUACAUCUCUGGUACUCCCAUAAAUGUUGAGACCAAUAUCAUCAAUGUCAUAACUCCACAGGAGUACAUAAGGGAUGUUUAUCAGCCUGUUUCAGACCUUGAAAACGAAGAUGUAUCUGUUUCGGCAAGAAAUUGGACUCCGAUACUUUUCCAAUAGGAAAUUUCCUCAGUUUUGGAAUUUUUGGAAAAUUAGAAAAAUAAAAAAGCAGUCCGGAGAGCAAACGAGGAAGCCACAAGGGCCCACUCCGCCACCACCCCCUGGUGGCGGUGGGCAAGCUUGUGGGCACCUUGUGUGCCUCCCGGACUCCGUUUUCUUGCAGAGGACUCCUUCUGGCCCAGAAAAAAUCAAUAUAUAGUUGCCCGAAGGUUUUGAUCUUCAUAUCGCGUAGUUUUCCUCUGUUUUCGUUUCGAGCUUGUUUCUGCCGCAGAUCUAGAUCAUCAUGACUUCCCCAAACGCUCCUAAGGACAAGAUCUUGGAGAAGGUCAUCAAUCCCUACCUCACGGAAGUGCUAAAACACCAUCAAUCUAUCAAGAUGAGCGAGGGGAUGUUGCACAUCCGUGAUGUUGAGGGGCCUAAGAAGACCGGAAGCAUGGAGACGAGGCUCGAAGUAGUGGAGCAACAAGUCUUCAUGUGCCAAGGGAUGGUUGAGCGUGGACUCAACGCCAACCACACGAUGAUCACGGAGUUCACUAGCAAUCACAAGAUGGAUGUCAUUGAUAUCGGGAAACACCUCUCCAGACUUUACGAUAGGGUUGACCAACUUCAGGGCCAAAUCUAUGACCUGCAGAAUCAAAACUGUGAGUAUGGGUAUAGAUUUAAAUCAAUAAGGUUGGCUGCAGAUUUGAGGAUUUCGGCUACUCGUUCAUCCUGCCAUGAUGGAGCACCUAUGCCUUGGAAGACGGAGGAUCAGACUACUCCAACAACACCACCAUCAUCACCAAAGGAAGACAACUAAGCAUUGGUAUGGGCAAUCCCCUUGGCUUCUGCCGAGCUUGGGGGAGUUGCCCUGGUAUCAUAUCACCUUUAUAUCUUUUGCUUUUACCUUUGUUUUAGUUCUUUCCCUUUCAGUUUUUAUUUCUUCUUUUAGAGGAAUAAGUCUUUAGUUUUUAGUUUGAGUCUUUUGCUUUUGGUCUCUCCCCCGAUGUAUUCGAGCUUACGAGCUAUAUAAUAAAGAGUGUCUUAGUCAAAGGGCUUUGCUUUGUGCCAUGAUCAAAAGUAUGAAAAGAACGAUAGCAUGAAAGAUCAUGAGACGAUCUUAUGGAAAGUGAUAACUUCACUUAUGACACGUAUGAUGAUUGAAACUUGUCGAGAAUAAAUCAACACAUACCUCAGUCAUUGUUGCAAUUAAUAAGAAGUAAUAAGGAAAGAGAGGUUCACAUAUAAAUAUAUCAUCUUAGACACUUUCUACAAUUGUGAGCACUCACCAAACUAUUACAUGCCUAGGAGUAGAUGUUGGACAAGGAAGACAACAUAAUGAAUUGUGUUUGCUUGGUUCCAAACAAUGUUAUAUGAUUAGAGAUCCCUUAGCAUGUGACGAUUGCUUCCACCUCAUAUUAGCCAAAACUUCCGCACCAAGUAGAGAUACUACUUGUGCAUCCAUAAACCUUCAACCCAGUUUUGCCAUGAGAGUCCACCAUACCUACCUAUGGAUUGAAUAAGAUCCUUCAAGUAAGUUGUCAUCGGUGCAAGCAAUAAAAAUUGCUCUCUAAUAUGUAUGAUCUAUUAGUGUGUGGAAAAUAAGCUUUGUACGAACCUGUGAUGAGGAAGACAUAAAAGCGACAGACUGCAUAAUAAAGUUCUUUGUCACAGGAGGCAAUAUAAAGUGACGUUCCUCCGCACUAAGAGGACACGCAUUCAAACCUCAAAAGUGCAUGACAACCUCUGCUUCCCUCUGCGAAGGGCCUAUCUUGUACCUUUACUUUUACCCUUGUAAGAGUCAUGGUGAUCAUCACCAAUUCCCUUUUUGCCUUCGUCUUGGCUACCGUCACAUGCUUGGAAAAGAUCUAUAUUCAUAUAUCAACUUGGAGUUGAGUACUCAUGCUUUAUUGUUGUUGACUUUACCCUUGAGGUAAACCGUUGGGAGGAAAAACUAUAAGCCCCCAUCUUCCUCUGUGUCGAGCUGAAGCUUUGACACCAUGAGUACCACGUGAGCUAUAAAAAUUGUGGAAAACAAAAGAGAUGAUUGAGUAUGUGGGUUUGCCUUACAAGCUCUUAUUUGACUCUUUCUGAUGUUGUGAUAAAUUGCAAUUGCUUCAAUGAUUAUGGACUAUUGUUGGUUACUUCUCGGUAAGGUUUUUGCUUCAUGCUUUGCUUUGUGAAGGAAUUGUUACUUUCCCAUAAGAAUCUUUAUAUAUAUUGUUGUUCUAUGUGUGAUCAUGAUGCCCUCAUGUCUGUAUUAUGUUUUAUCGACACCUUCGUCCCUCAACAUGUGGACGUGUUUAUGGAACUUGGUUUUCGCUUGAGGACAAGCGAGGUCUAAGCUUGGGGGAGUUGAUACGUCCAUUUUGCAUCAUGUUUUCAUGUUGAUAUUUAUUGCUUCUUGGGAUGUUAUAUUACUUGUGGUGCCAUAUUUAUGCCUUUUCGCUCUUAUUUUGCAAGGAUUAUUUGAAGAGGGAGAAUUCAGGCAGCUGGAAUUCUGGACUAGAAAAGGAGCAAAUCCUAGUCCACUAUUCUGCACAUCUCCAAAUGCCCUGAAAAUUUACGUGGAUUUUUUCUGGAAUAUAUUAAAAAUACUGGGCGAAAGAACUACUGGAGGGGGGCCACCAGGGCCCCACAAGCUUGCCCACCACCACCACCCCCUGGUGGCGCACGGUAGGCUUGUGGGCAGCCCACUAGCCCACUAGCCCCCCUCUUUUGCUAUAUGAUGCGUCCUGACCUGGAAAAAAUCAUACAGGAGCUUUUUCGUGGUUUCGCCGCCACCACGGGGCGGAACUUGAGCAGAUCCAAUCUAGAGCUCUGGCAGGACAAUCCUGCCGGGGAAAUUUCCCUCCCGGAGGGGGGAAUCGUCGCCAUCUUCAUCACCAACACUCCUCUCGUCGGAGGGGAGGCAUCUUCAUCAACAUCUUCAUCAGCACCAUCUCUUCUCCAAUCCCUAGUUCAUCUCUUGUAACCAAUCUUCAUCUCGCAACUCAAAUUGGUACUUGUAAGGUUGCUAGUAGUGUUGAUUACUCUUUGUACUUGAUGCUUGUUGGAUUACUUGGUGGAAGAUUUUAUGUUCAGAUCCUUGAUGCUAUUCAUUACACCUCUGGUCAUGAUUAUGAUUAUGUCUUGUGAGUAGUUACUUUUGUUCCUGAGGACAUGGAAUAAGUCAUGCUGAUAAUAGUCAUGUGAAUUUGAUAUUCGUUCGGUAUUUUGAUAUGAUGUAUGUUGUUUUUCCUCUAGUGGUGUUAUGUGAAUGUCAACUACAUAACACUUCACCAUAUUUGGGUCUAGAGGAAGGCAUUGGAAAGUAGUAAGUAGAUGAUGGGUUGCUGGAGUGACAGAAGCUUGAACCCCAGUUUAUGCGCUACUUCGUGAGGGGUUGAUUUGGAUCCACUAGUUUAAUGCUAUGGUUAGACUUUGUCUUAAUUCUUCUUUUGUAGUUGCGGAUGCUUGCGAGAUAGGUUAAUCAUAAGUGGGAUGCUUGUCCAAGUAAGGGCAGUACCCAAGUGCCGGUCCACCCACAUAUCAAACUAUCAAAGUAACGAAUGCGAAUCAUAUGAACAUGAUGAAACUAGUAUGACAGAAAUUCCCGUGUGUCCUCGGGAGCGUUUUCCUCCUAUAAGACUUUGUUCAGGCUUGUCCCUUGCUACAAAAGGGAUUGGGCCACUUGCUGCACCGUUGCUACUACUUGUUACUUGUUACUCUUUGCUUGCUACGUUUCACCUCGCUACACAAUCACUUGUUACCGCUACUUUCAGUGCUUGCAGUUAUUACCUUGCUGAAAUCCGUUUAUCAGAGCCUUUUGCUCCUCGUUGGGUUCGACACUCUUACUUAUCGAAAUGACUACGAUUGAUCCCCUAUACUUGUGGGUCAUCAAGUUGCGUGAUCACAUGGUCAUAGGAACAGAAACAUUGACAUGCAGAAAAAUAGUAGCAAUAAACUGACACGAUCAUAUGCUACAUUUAUAGUUCGGUUCUUGUCCAUCACAUCAUUCUCCCAAUGAUGUGAUCCCGUCAUCAAGUGACAACACUUGCCUAUGGCCAGGAAACCUUGACCAUCUUUGAUCAACGAGCUAGUCAACUAGAGGCUCACUAGGGACAGUGGGUUGUCUAUGUAUCCACACAUGUAUUUGAGUUUCCAAUCAAUACAAUUCUAGCAUGGAUAAAUAAAUGAUUAUUACGAACAAGGAAAUAUAAUAAUAACCAAUUUAUUAUUGCCUCUAGGGCAUAUUUCCAACAAUUUCUAUGUAAAAGGUGCGGAUAGUACCUCAUUCUCGUCUAUCCCAAGCUGAGGUAUGUCACCGACCCUAUGCUCAUCCAUGCAUACAAAAUUAUCCACUGGAGCCCUGAAUAAUUUUUUAUAGUAUUCAAAGAUAUAUUGUUUGAGAUUCUCAUGUCCCACAAUUGUACCCUCAUCUUGUUCUAGCUGGAUAAUUUUUUUAUUCCUAUGCUUUCCAUUAGCUAUUAGAUGGAAAUGUUGUGUGUUGUCAUCUCCUUGUACCACUUGGAGGACUUUCGCUCUUAGUGCCCACUUCAACUCCUCCUCUCUGAGUAGUUGUUUGAGCUUUAGUUCAGCCUCCAUUUUUCAAUGACCUCUCAUUGUCACCUAAUAACGUUUGUUCGGCUUUUAUGUCUAGUGUGUUUAUAAGUUUAUAAGUUCGACAAGCCUUUGUUUCUUUUUCUUAUAAAUUACACUAUCGUGCUUUUCCCAACCCCUUAAGAAUUGCCUCAGGUGUCUUAUCUUAUUUUGCCACCUGUCAACAUUCGAGUCACCUUCUGUGAAAUAGCCCAUUCUCAAACCCGUCCCUUUCAAACCAUCCCAAUUCGAAAGAAAAAAGGUUUUUAUUUCCCACAUGUGUUGCUUCUCGCGAGUCUACAAACAGUGGGGUAUGAUCAGAGAUAGCUCUUGGUAACUCUCAAACUGUGACGAGAGGGAAUUUCUGCUCCCAUUCCACACUCAUGAGAACCCGGUCCAACUUCUCAAAAGUUGGGUUAGGUAAAGAGUUUGCCCAAGUAAACUUUCUCCCUGAUAGCUCAAUCUCCCACAAAUUAAGGCUCUCGAUGAUUGAAUUAAACAUAAAUGACCAUCUUCCAUCAAAGUUAUCACUGUUUUUCUCAUCCUGCCUCCAGAUUAUAUUAAAAUCGCCCCCUACUAAAAUCGGCAGUCUCUCGUCCCCGCAGAUUCGGACAAGGUCAGCCAAGAAAUCUCUCUUGAACUCAGGCUGGGCCGCCCCAUGCACAUCUACGAGUGCCCAUUGGAACCCGUCAUCUUUGGAGCGAACUCAAAAUUUGACUGCAAAGUCUCCAUACACCACUUUCGUAGUUGUGGUGUCUCGCACCGAACCCCAAGCAAGAUCCCACCUGAUCUUCCUCUUGGAGGUAGACAAUGCCAGUCAAAUUCAGAACCUCCAUACAACGUGUUUAAAAACGAAGCUAUAUAGUUAUCUCUCCCAGUUUCCAUCAAUGCAACGAAAUCCAAUUUGUGCUCAAUAGUUGUUUCAGCUAGGAAUCUUCUUUUAGCCAAGUCUGCUAGACCUCUGCUAUUCCAAAAUGUUCCUUUCAUCGCUCAUCAUGAAAUUUCUUAGCCGUUUUAAAUCUAGCACUACGACGCACAGCUGAAACAGGAUAGACUUUUCUCUUCCAGGUUCUUUUUGGCCUAUCCUGAACCUCCGACCGAUCCACAUAACCGUUGGACUCUUGUGCGUUAGCAUUCGUUUGUGGAGGAGCCUCAUACCCCUCCUGAACGAUAUCAUUUGUGUCUUCAAGCAAAAGGGGGGUGGCACAAGAUCCUCACAUAAACGCUCUAAGGCUCCCAAACCCAAUGCAUUUAUAUCAGAAUCAUUCAUAGGUUUUACGGCUGCAAUUUUUCUGACCAUCUCAAUUGCCCUCUCUGCCUCUAAGUCUAACAUGUCAUUUACCGAUCUAGAUAUCUCCUGGUCUACCAAACGCUAGAAUAAGGCCUAGUAACGGGCCCGACCCAUGCCAUUUUGGCCCAUGACUGCAACCAAACACACCCUUAAGUAACUUCUACAAUAUCCAUCCCCAACUUCCAGAAAUUCUAACACUUAAAAAAUCAAAAUCAAACUAUUGGCAUUUAAAACUUUCAUACAUUUCAUUUCUGAAAAAAAUGGUCUUUUAGAUUUCGAAAUAUCAGUAUUAUAUUUUUUACAAAAUUUAACUUUAAGAAUUUUCAAAAUUAUAAGGAUUCAAAAUUCAAAUGUUUUAGCACUUAAAAAAAUUCAAACUUUAAAAAAAUUGAACUUUCAAAUGUUUUGAAUUUUAAGAAGUGUGAACUUUCAUUUUUUUAUAAAGGAUGGGUUUUAUUUACUCAAAAUAAAGCAUCAAGAGCAUACAAAUACAAUAAGAACACACCCGGCCACUUUAUAACUAGGAUGCACACAACCAACUCAAACUCACACACACAAAAAUACGAUCGGUAAAUAGCAAAGUCAUAUAAGACCAAAGCUAUGUGCGCGGUUGGAAAAAGAAACCAAAGCGACCAUAUUGGCAAUGGACAAACUACAACAAUGACCAUAUCUGCACCAACAAUUUCAUUACACCACACGGACAACGAGGUUCCUCAACAAUGACACCUUCAGAAAGGGAGCGACGCUCAAAUGCCGCUAUCAUCGGAUCCAACCAUCCAAGGUCAGAUGCAAGAUUUUCACUCUGAGAAUCAGUCCAAGCAUGUCCGAGCAAUUCCUUCAAUAAGGUAAUGGCGUAAAAACAUCGCCAUUGCCAGGUACAGCCAACUCGAGUUGGACCUAGGCUUUCACCCGGGAGCUCAAGACCGGGUGCUCGAGAAGCACCACCAUCGAAGUCACUAUGUGUUGUUGCCACUACUUUUCCACAAUCUCAGUAGCUAUAUGCGAUGUGUGACCGCUGAUGCUGCACAACCAUCCCUCUACAUCAAGCCAUCAUCAAUAGUUUCAAUCUCACCGUUGAAGUCAACCAUCGGAUCUCCAAGAUCAAUCAUGAAGACCUUUUGAUGGAUACUACAUCAAUCCGCCGCGAGACCGCCACCGUAGUCAUGGUGGUCACCACACGUUCGUCGUCACGCCCCUAGCAGACCUAAAGGUCCACACCAAGGAACCACGGGUCCACACGCAUGGAGCCAUGGAUGUGUGUGUGGAUCAUGAAACGACCAAUCCAUGGCCAUGGCCAUUAGAUGAGACUAUCCCUGGCUGAUGGCAGGUGUCCAAGCCCUGCCGACAUGGCCACUACACCAUGGGCGCCAUCCCACAUGAAGGAGCCACCAGGCGGAGCAGCGACCACAAGUGAGGCGAGAUCUACACCAGCAAUGGCUGGAUCAUCCAGGUAACUGUCCGCUGGAUCUGUGGUGACAUCGUUGGAGGAAGCACGGGGUAGAGAGUGUGAAUCUGGGUUGGGGGAGAGGGGAAGGUCGGGGAAGAAGAUCCCUGUGGCGGUUGAGUCCCGCCGCCGCUGACAAACUGUCAUCGAUGAUGACGACGAGGAUGGAACAUCGGAGGCGGCCUCGAGUGCUAGGGUUUCUCGCCCCCGGUGUCGCCCUGGAGCAACACGGGAGGCCGAUGGCGAUUUCAUAGGAGAGAGAGAGAGAAGGUUGAGAAAUAGAAUCACAUGGUUGGGCAUGUGAGGAAAGAGAGAGAUGGAAAGAAGCACAUGGAUGAGGCCCCCUCGUCCUAUCUACCACAUGGUAACCUGACACAGUCACAUGCAAUGCUUGCGGCAAUGACCAUGGGCACAGUUCCCACAAGAGAGCAUUCUUAGAGUAAUAGCGAGUCUCAUCCUCAUGUUGGAUGCCUAUAUAAAGCUUCUCCUUUCCAACAUUCAUCAUACGAAUUGGCCAAAAUUUCUUUCUCAUUUGUGAUCUUUCAUCACAUUCAACUUUCCUUUGUAUAUAUUGUUGCUAAGCUUCAAAUUCUAAUCAGCUGGAGCUAAGCAAUGAAUUCUUCAUGCCAUCGAGCAUUCCUCGUGAGGAACAUCUUUUGUACUUUGGAAUGAGUGGUAUCGAGAAAUUAGUCAGGACGACUUUCUGAGGCUGAGGCGCCGCUUUUUUCUGUUCUCGUCUCUGAGACGUUGAGGUGGUAGACAUUUAUGAUAAGUGCAUUUCUUGUUGAGAAUAGCAUCGAUAAUCAUGUCUAGUCUAACAACUUGCUCAUUUAGGACUACCCUGGACAGUGCAACAAGUAAAAUACCAAAUCCUUGUACAAAAACAAGUUGUUGCCCUGUGGUGAGGAGUUGAAGCUAUGGCAUGAACUCGUCCAUGUGUGCGGUAUUUCUCCUUGUUGUUUCCAUCGUCUCUAGAAAUCGCUAAAAAGAUCAAAAACAAUAUCAAACCGUUGACACUAUGUGUCUACCAUCUCACACAAAUUCGAACCCAUAUCCAUCGCAGAUCUCCAAAAACAAACAAACAAGACGGAUCCAGUGUUGAACAGCAUAGCAACUAAUUCAAAUCAGCACAUGAACACAUCAUAUCAUCAGCACCAACACAAGAUUGUUUUUUUUUCUCUUUUCUUCAAACAAUAUCCUGAUUAAGGUUUAAAUAUUCUUGUGGCGUUGUAAAUACAUGUUGUGUGUCAGAGACAUAAUUCUUUUUCAAAUAAAAAAACAUAACUUUUUUUACCACAAAUUUUUCUAGGCUUAUGUGUGUGUAUCUUCCUUGUUUCAGUUCCAAGUGACAAGAGGCAAACUUGUCACGGUUGACUGAAUAGAACAGUAGCAAUCGACCUGCCCGGAGCUUCUAUUUUUUGUAGGUGAUUUUCUCUGUUAAGAGUGACUUCUUCUUUUUUGAGAGUUUUGUUAAGAGUGACAUGAAAUCUGCAUAUGGCGAUCGAGCACGCAUGCCGGCGAUCCCACACGGCGCACCGCAGCCACAAGCCGAUCGCCCCCACAAAAUCUGCCCGACGGCUCCCACCGGGAUGGGAUUCCCCGGUGCCAAUGGCGCGCGCCCACCUCACCCCCUCUUAUCCCCGCCUCACCCACUCGCGCCACGCCCCUUAUCCCCUCCUCUUACAAACCCACACAAACUAAUCAUCGCCCACCACCCUCCAACGAUCACCAACCAAAACCCCUCCACACGCCCGCCCGCGCGCGCCACGGACGCAGCAAUGGCCGCCCUCGCCGCCUCCAUCGCCACCUCCACGGCGUUCGCCGCGAAGCCGCGCCUGUCCCGCCCGCCGGCGCGCCUCUCCGUCUCCUGCUCCGCGUCCAGCGGCGACAACAACAACAGCACCGCCACCCCCUCGCUCUCCGCCUCCAUCAAGACCUUCUCGGCCGCGCUGGCGCUCUCCUCCGUGCUCCUCUCCUCCGCCGCCACCUCCCCGCCCCCCGCGGCUGCCGACAUCGCCGGCCUGACCCCGUGCAAGGAGUCCAAGGCCUUCGCCAAGCGGGAGAAGCAGUCGGUCAAGAAGCUCAACUCGUCGCUCAAGAAGUACGCGCCCGACUCCGCCCCGGCGCUCGCCAUCCAGGCCACCAUCGACAAGACCAAGCGCCGGUUCGAGAACUACGGCAAGUUCGGCCUGCUCUGCGGCUCCGACGGCCUGCCCCACCUCAUCGUCAGCGGCGACCAGCGGCACUGGGGCGAGUUCAUCACCCCCGGCGUGCUCUUCCUCUACAUCGCCGGCUGGAUCGGCUGGGUCGGACGCAGCUACCUCAUCGCCGUCAGCGGCGAGAAGAAGCCCGCCAUGAGGGAGAUCAUCAUCGACGUCGAGCUCGCCGCCAGGAUCAUCCCCAGGGGCUUCAUCUGGCCCGUCGCCGCAUACCGCGAGCUCAUCAACGGCGACCUCGUCGUCGACGACGCCGACAUCGGCUACUAAGAAGCUGCCAUGCGUGCGUGCGUGCGUGGUUGGCUAGUCGGUCCCAAGUCAGGUGAGCUCUGCAUCCAUGCCUGAAUGUGUUCUGCUCUGUCAUGCCAUGCCAUGGCUCAACUGAUUAACUUGUCUUGCGUUCUUGUUUGCUUUGGCAGAUGGGCAGCGGAGGAUGAGGGCUUGUGGUGUCGAUCUGUGUGGGCUUGGUGUAGGAGCUGAUAGGAUCAUGGAGAAAUGGAACCUCUCUUGUAUUUAAGAAACUGAACCCAAUCUUGUAUAACUAUUGUGUUCUCUCUUCACAUGUGUGUAUUUUACCAUUGUUCAAAUUGUUGAGAACGAUUUUAUUAUGCACAGCAUACUAUGAGUGCAACUGCAUCAACAUACAUAGGAAACUCAACUCAGAGAAAAGGUUGAUUUUUGUUAUAAGAAUACAAGCCAAAUAUCUACUGCAGUAGCAAAUUUAACAUACAUGAUCCACAUGGAGCAAUAUGAAAGAUCGGUGCUGCUUCUCACAUUCUCACAACACUAUACAGACUACUCCCCCGGGUCUUAUAAUAUAAGAUAUUAUUACAACAAAUGCACUCACUUGAGCCUCUUAUGGUGUGGAAUAUUUGAGAGAGGGAAACGGCAGAGUUUUGGACAACACUCACAGCACACUGCGAAGAAUCGUAGACCGAAUGAAGGCCGAUCCCAGGCAGUGGGUUGUUUGAUCUUCGCAUAGGUUGUUCGGUCAGCAAGGCUUAAUUAUCAGUUUCUGGUGUAGGUCGUUUUGUAAGGACUGUGUGUUGUUUUCCCUUUGUUUCUUUUCAGUGCAGUCACAAUUUCAUCUGGAGCACCCUUUUGCAACGGGCCAAACUCCAGGAGGUCAUUUCUUGAAUGGGUCGGGAGCUCCUCCCAUGGUGGAUUGUGGCCAGAGUUGCCCUUCAAGGGAAAGAUAAGAAGAAUGCCCGGCUCUGAGAUCAGAGCCCUGGUCGUUUGGGCUACAUGGAGAGGGGAAUGCCUUAACAAUGAAGUCACGCCCUUUUCUUCAGGCCGUGAGCAAGCUUAAAUUAGAAGCUGGUUUUGGCGAGGAAGACUGUAUGCUCUAGGUGUUUCAGAGAAUGAAACAUGUAUAUAUUCAGGUUGUGGGCCGUCGCCAGCAGCAAUGGAUUGGUGAUUAUUCAAGACAGCGGCUGAAUUGAUUCGUAUAUAUGGACAAUAAAACAUGUAUAUUUGGACAGCUCUGACCCUGAAGGUUGCAACCAUGAUUCCAAAAUACACGGGAAAUUCACCUUAGCAAAAAGAUUUAUUAACAUGAUUACACCAAGUUCAGCAAUACAAAUAUUUGCUCCUGGGCAUCCAAGACAAGGCAAGUGCCCUGUUUUUCCAAAAGAUUGUUCUUUAAGAAUACAACACAAAAUGCCUACUGCAACCAGUAGCAAAUUCAGCAACAUGCUGAACAAUAUUGCCUGUUACUACUCACAAGUCACAACACUUUCGAUACUUAUACAAACUACAAAUGCUUAUUCACACAAGAAUACUUGAAUCAAGGAUUGCCACCAUCAUGCUUAGUCUGGUAGAGGAAAGCCUGUUGCAGUGGUCUCUAGUUCAGUCACCAGUAGCCACCAUGAGAUUGGUUGUUGGAAUUCGGCAGUUCUGCUGAAACAAAAGAAACACACCAUCAGCGCAAUUUCAACUUUUAAGCAGACAGGGUUUCAACAGUUUAGUAGAAUGGUAGUCAUCAGUCAAGCAUAUACGCUCUGGUUAUUGUGAAGGUGGACAUCAAUUUGCUAUCAUCAGAAGUUAAAAUUGUCAAGCUCUGUGAUUUAGCAGCUUAGCUUAUAUCAACAGAAGUUAUCACUGUGGUUAUCAUGGGUAUUGAAAACCGCAUACCGUUGUUAGGAGGUAUGAAGCCCUGACCCGCCACAUGUGCUUCUUCUACUACUCCUAGCAGUUCCUGGAAACGCAGGAACAAACAUCAUCAUGACAUAGCAAACGGAGAAAAAAGAUCUAAAGCCAUGUGAUUGCCAUAGACUGAUAUAAUUGGCCUGAGAGAAGAUAACUGGUCUGUUAUAAAGAAAAAUUCCCAUGACACAUCUAACUUAUUGGAAAGAAGCACAUACUUCAAUUGUAUAUAACGCAUUGACGGUCCCAGACUGAUCAUGGUUAAGUGAAGAGGUUCCCUGACUAACUCCACCUGAGGAAGUGCCAACACCAACAUAUCAGGACCCAAUAAUGCAUAAUGGAGAAGUGAUUUGAAUGUCUAGAGCAUUGCCUAUACUAUCACAUUAAGAAAACUAGAUAUAGCAAGCACGCCUCUUACAAGACAAAGAAUUACCAGGAGCAGCAGUCAUCAAGGAGCUUGAGUAUCCAUUGUGUUGGGCAGUUAGAUAUGUACGAGUCAUUGAGUUGUUCUCUUCAGCCUACAUCCAGGAAAUAUUUGAAGUUGGCAAUGAAUUGUUGGAUGGAAUAGUUGAUUCUGUCACAAGUAUCUUUACUUACUGGUGCAAAAUUGUGGGAUUGGCUGAUUGACCAGGCUGAGAAUGAUCCCUGACCAUCGACGUUUCCAUGGGUGAAAUAGGGAGGAAUUCCAUUACACAGUGUAGAAGGAUCCUGCUGAUAUAGUUCUACAGCAAAUUGAUUGCGAAAACUGUGAGUAGCAAUAAUAAUGCUUUUUGCACAGAGGCAGCACUCACAAUGUGGUCUAUGUUUGAUACAAAAUUGGGCAUGUGUUCAGUAUUUACCUUGAUGCGUAACCUGUUCAUGACUGGACUGUGCAAAUGGUGGUCCUUGAUUCGAAGGACCAGCAACAUUGUUUGCAAAGAUCUGUGCCAGUGGGAAUCCACUCUCCUGCAGAAAUGGUUGUUGCUCACCAAAUUCUGCAGUUGUUUGAUUUUUGGAAGUACUGGCACCGUUGUUCGGAGGUGCUGCCGGGACAAGGCGGCCGUUACUCAGGAAGUAAUCAGGGACAAGACGCCCUGAGUUCUCCAGCUCCUCAAAUUUCUUGUAUGCAGACAUUUUCCAAUUCUUCACUUUAAGCUGUAACAGAAAAUUCGAAUGUAAUUACCAGCACGCUAUUAUUUUAGUGACUAUCAACUGCCUAACCGUGAUAGAAGUGGAAGAGUGUUAGAUGCAGUACCUGUGGAAACUGAUCGACGUCACUGACACUGUACGGAACAUAGACAUCAGUCAUCUUACCGACAACAUCAUAGAAAUCAUUGAAUAAUAUUUCACAAUUAUCCUCUGGAACCCAAUACGAAUAGAUCUCAUCCCCAGGAACAGACAUGGUAGCAUGUUCAAUCAUGGAAUUCCAAUCCCCAUUCUUCAUGCCAGCAAGCUAAUUGCCAUAAAUUAAAAACUAACUUAUCAAUUAAUAAAAUGCCAACAGAUAUUACAUUUAGCAGUACACGUCCAAAUAAGUCCUAAGAUAUGCUGGACAUCUUAUCCUGAUCCAGAAAUAUCAAUAUAAACUGCAUAUAUACCUCUUGGAGACCAAAUUUAUCUUUGUGAUAAUGGCGCAACAAGUGCUUCACUUUCGUAAUAUUUUUCUCCACAAGGUUAUUCCAAUGUUUUCCCUUUAAGCAAAUUUUCUUCAGUUGAUGUAUAGCGUCUUCCUUGGAUGGAAUAGAACUCUUCUCAUUUGCUGAAAUAGGCAAAAAGGUUGGGUGUGUUCAGCGUUCGGACAAGAUUGCUAAUAUGAAAUGAGAUCGUUUUAGGUAUAUUUCCAUCUGUUAGUUUUGACGAAAGGAUUAAUGUCAAGGUAAAUUGCAAUCAAUUUAUUGUUGAUAUACCACCUACAACAUUGAAAAACUACAACGGUUCACACCCUUUCUCCAUUACACACGGAAUGUACAAGUCGACAUAAACUGUGUACUGAGCAAAGAAGAGUGACUCACAGUACUGCUACCCUUUUUUGGCAGAACAAGUCAUCCCCUUCAAAAAGCAAAACAUUUAGUGCCAAAAUAGCAUAUUUUGAGGUAAAGUAAUGUCAUUUCGUGCACAAGGCCAGAACUGUUUUUUGAAAGAUAUACUAUGUGCUGUAAAAAAUUCUUUAUUAUUCAAAUCAGCUUGUCAGACACUUAAAAGAGAAUCAUGCUCUUCACCUGACUAUGCAGUGCACCUAUAAUUCGAUAUAGUUAAAAAAAUGGCUCCGAAUAGAUAAGUGAAUAUACUCACAUUCACUUCGACGGUCUUUGACGACAAAAGGAUCAGUUAUUGCUUCCUGAACUCUGACAGUAAGAUCCUGCCUUUUCACUCGAGCUGUUAAUCUUAACUUUUUCCCGUGGGAGCUCUCUGGAAAGGAGAAUGAACCAAGAGAGGACUCGCCGUUUGUAAGACUAACGGUUGUCAAGACCGACUCUNNNNNNNNNNNNNNNNNNNNNNNNNNNNNNNNUCUUUCCCUUUAUACAUAUAAAUUUGCUUGCUGAAUUCAUCUUUGGUGAAAUCCUCUUGUCCGGUAAAGAAAUCAGCAUGAACAGGUAAGAUCUCAAUUUGCAAUUUAGAAAGAUCACCCUGCGUGAUUGGCUUCUCAUUUUGAAGUAUUGCUACUUUAGCGUUUGCUCCAUUCUUCCAUACUGGACAACGAGUGAAAAGUGUAUCUUUUGGUCCUGCAACAUCAAAGUGUAGCUUGACGACUCCAGUGAUGCUUCCAGUUUCAGGAAAGCCUUCCGAUACAUGCCUAAAAUUUAGAACAGGACGAGAGUGAGACAGUAACAAGAAAGGAAACUUCACAGAUUAUUUAGAAAGGAAAUACCACUUGGUUUGGCAGAUUUUUAGUGUCAAUGACAUGAAUAAAAAACAAUAGAGCAUUAAGUAGAGGAACUAUGCAUGUCCAAUUGUCCAGUGCUCAACUUGUAAUGCAGAACUAGUGCUGACAACUGUAGGAGGACAUAGGAGAAAAAUUAUAAUAUCAGGUACCUAGGAGGAGGCUCAUGAACGGCACUAGGAAGCGAAGCGGCUUGUUGUUCCUGCAUCUAUUGCAUGAUAUAACAAAAAGGAGUUAGGAUAGAGGUAGACAAUAAGGGAAAGAUUCCAAAAAAGGGAAAAGCAUAUUACGUCCAUACUGACCUUUGUCUGUACAAUUGACUGAACCUUAUCUUCGAUGCGUCCCAUAAUAGAACUGUUGGAUACAGCACAACAAGUGAAUAGAUAAAAAUAAUUAAGCAAAGGGGAAGCAUUAUCCAUCACAUCCACAACAUUCCAAAGUUGAAUACUACUCAACACAUAAACUCGUAAGGCUGCUUCCGUAUACUGAUACUAUAUUAUGCAGGUAUGGUUAUUACUGAAAGAAGAAGAAGAAAUCCAUGGUUUAUCCGUGCUCCAUGAAUCGAACUUGAUUAAUCAUCUGAGACUGAAGUAGUAUGAUUGUCAAGUUUUCCGUUGUAUAUAUACAUAGCCAGCAUUCAUAUGAAAGAGAAUAAUAGCUAGCCGUGUGUUUUUCAGAGGAUAAAGACUGGCAAGCAAGUCAGCAUCUCAAUCAUUACUUUCCUUUCCUUUAUUGGUCUGUAACUACGAGUAGUACUCCUACCUACUCCAGGAGGGAAAAUCGUUGCCGUACGUACCUAGAGCGAUCCAAAAUUCAAAGUAGAGUACAGCAUAUGAACCGUGACACUACACAUGGAUGUAUGUUUGUGGUUGAGAGCAUGUGUGUACCUCUGGAAAGCACCGAAAUGCUCCCCCAAAACUCUCUCCAGCCUCUCCAUGAUGGAACUCGCCACGUCGCGCUGCGCCUGUCGCGCCCCACGAAAAACAAUUGAAACAGUCCCGCCGGACCUGUCAGCCAUCGCCGGCCACGAAAGACGAAACCAAACGCGCGGCGAGGAGGAGGAAAUGCGGGGGAGAGGGGAACCGCGAUGAAUCGGCCUCACCUGGCGAAGCAUCCGCGCCAUCUGGCCGAUGGUGACCACCCUCGCCUUCCCCUCGUCCCUGCGGCGGCCGGGGCCGCGGAUCCGCGCGAAGCAGACGAUAGCGAGGGGUCAGUCUCGAAUCGUGGAAGCAAUGGAGAGAGAAGAGAAGAAGCGGCGGCUGACGCCGGCGCAGGAGGCCGGAAGGUACUCACAGCCACAUGACGAGGAGCCCCGCCCGCCGCAGCCGCUUCCUCGGGGAACACACCGCCUCCGGCUCCCGCUCCUGCUCCGGCUCCGGCGCGACGGCGCCGAGCGGCCGCUUGUUGUGCGCGCGCGCCGCCAUCACGCGCUUCGGGCGGGGUCGACGUCCCUCGGGUGGAGCGCGGCGGCGGUGAGCUAGCCGGGGCGGGGCGGAUGGGGAAGAAUGGUGAUGCCGCUGCCGUCGCCGUUGCCGUUGCCGUUGCCGUGAUGGGGAUUGGGGGGUUUGGGUUGAGCACUCGAGCUUGGAGCUUGCCGCUUGUCUUGUCUGCUGACGCGUGCACUGCGCUUAGAAAUAGGAGAGUUGGAGGGAGGAGGCCAAGGCGAGAUGGAGAAGCUGCGUCAUGUUAGCCGUCACGCACUCCCCCAGCGGCGGGAGGGGAAGACCGACCAUGGCGCUGGCGCGUAGAGUGCGACGUCAGGGGUGGGAGCUACGCGCCGUGCUGGGCUCGGGCCGGGGUGGUGGUGGCCCGCAGGUCUCUCGGGCUUGCCGCGCCACGGCCGGGCGGCUGCGCACUCCUCAUGUCGUCACCCCCGUACAACAUGUUCGACGAAAUUGGCCUAUAUAAAAAAAAAACAAGUUUUCAUUUUUGGUUCGUUCGGCGUCCAUUCUUUCUGGUUUAGCUGAUGAUGACAGUGACACCUGUCCCUCACAGCAGCUCGUCGUCACUUUCAACUUGCAAGCACAAGUCGUCAAUGGUUGACAUCCGGACGACCUCUUCUCUAACCUUGUGACAACACGAAUAGUAUCAUUCUGUACAAACCACAAACCGGCCUGUGCUCAAGUCCUUCCAUUCCUUCGUCGUCACCGCCGGAGCAUGGCGUCCAAGCGUGCUCGGCGACGACCGUCGGCAGUCGCUGAGCUAUAGGGGAAUGAUUGGGAUUCGGCCACCUACUGUUGCAAGGGAAGUAGUGAUAAUUCUAUGAAGAGUUUCUACGGUCGGCCCAUCCUAGCUCACUGGCCUAGCUCCACUACUGUCUAUCGUCGGCCAGUGGGUUGUAUCUUCCAUCCUUCCACACACGCGGAUUAAACCGUGAACGCAGAUGUGGGGUGCUUUCUACCUGGAGGCGUCGACCUAGAGCCGGUGUCUGAUGUCGAGCUAGGAGUGAAAGAAGGUGCCUUCCCCUCUUCCCACCGUGAUUGGGUUGCCAUGACGUGAAUGGUUGGCGGUGUAUAGGGGCAUGGAUGCCGGGGUGAUGGUCCCGGAAGAUGGCCUUCACGGUUGGCUAUCCGAUAGGCUCCAUGAGGGUGGUGGUACCUCCACCUCUUGUAGUGGCGUAGUCAGCCUGAUGUAUCAGGGUGGCCCGGUUAUAAAAAUAUUACAAUUUUUUAUUUAUUUAACAGAAAUAAUGUUUUACUACAUUAUGCACAAUCUAUACGAGAAUUCCAGGAUGAUCCAUGGACCAUCUUGUCCACCCCCUAGCUACGUCACUGACCUCUUAGUCGUGUGAGCGGCAAGGGGUGUAGUGACGGGAGGCAAUGUGGUUUUCUCUAUCAAUGUACAAGUCUGCUAUAGAUGGGCCAACCCUCGUUGUGGCGGUGAUCGAGGCCCCCUCCUGGUGGUGUAGGCAAGUGUCCAAGUGAAAGCUUUGCCCCUCUGGCGUGCCCCUUGCUUCCUGAAGACGCCAUCGUGACUCUCGCCUCUGUGCCAAACCUUUCUCCGGCUGCUCGGACUCCAUAGCGGCGACACUUCGCACCGUCACCCUGG